UACGAAGGGGGCUAGCGUUGCUCGGAAUACUGGGCGUAAAGCGCACGUAGGCGGAUCUUUAAGUCAGGGGUGAAAUCCUGGAGCUCAACUCCAGAACUGCCUUUGAUACUGAGGACCUUGAGUUCGGGAGAGGUGAGUGGAACUGCGAGUGUAGAGGUGAAAUUCGUAGAUAUUCGCAAGAACACCAGUGGCGAAGGCGGCUCACUGGCCCGAUACUGACGCUGAGGUGCGAAAGCGUGGGGAGCAAACAGGGAUUAGAAACCCUUUGAUCCCAGAACCAACGUACUC
RNAcentral lists this ribosomal RNA (288 nucleotides) under uncultured bacterium. RNAcentral's name for it is "partial 16S ribosomal RNA". It matches the Rfam family "Bacterial small subunit ribosomal RNA", at positions 524 to 816 of the family's 1533-position model. The record is from RNAcentral.